GAUGAACGCUGGCGGCGUGCCUAAUACAUGCAAGUCGAGCGAACGGACGAGAAGCUUGCUUCUCUGAUGUUAGCGGCGGACGGGUGAGUAACACGUGGAUAGCCUACCUAUAAGACUGGGAUAACUUCGGGAAACCGGAGCUAAUACCGGAUAAUAUUUUGAACCGCAUGGUUCAAAAGUGACAGACGGUCUUGCUGUCACUUAUAGAUGGAUCCGCGCUUCAUUAGCUAGUUGGUAAGGUAACGGCUUACCAAGGCAACGAUGCAUAGCCGACCUGAGAGGGUGAUCGGCCACACUGGAACUGAGACACGGUCCAGACUCCUACGGGAGGCAGCAGUAGGGAAUCUUCCGCAAUGGGCGAAAGCCUGACGGAGCAACGCCGCGUGAGUGAUGAAGGUCUUCGGAUCGUAAAACUCUGUUAUUAGGGAAGAACAUAUGUGUAAGUAACUGUGCACAUCUUGACGGUACCUAAUCAGAAAGCCACGGCUAACUACGUG
Molecule: ribosomal RNA, 497 nt
Filed under: uncultured bacterium
Lineage: Bacteria
Description: partial 16S ribosomal RNA
Rfam family: Bacterial small subunit ribosomal RNA
Source: RNAcentral